UCAAACUUGGUCAUUUAGAGGAAGUAAAAGUCGUAACAAGGUUUCCGUAGGUAUGUAUCAAUCGAACGCUGUUCCUUCUUCUCCGGGCCUCUGCUAACGUGAAAUUUUCUAGGUGAACCUGCGGAAGGAUCAUUAAUGAGUUAGGGUCUUCUCAGGCCCGACCUCCCAACCCUUUGUCUACCUUUACCACUUGUUGCUUCGGCGGGCCCCGUCCUGACCACGGACUGCCGGAGGGCCGUAACACGCCCUCUGGCCCGCGCCCGUCGAUAGCCCCCCAACCUUAUUAACUCUUGAACUAAAACGUGUCAUAAUCUGAGUAACAACCAAAAAAUAAAAAGCAAAACUUUCAACAACGGAUCUCUUGGUUCUGGCAUCGAUGAAGAACGCAGC
Molecule: unclassified non-coding RNA, 390 nt
Filed under: uncultured fungus
Lineage: Eukaryota; Fungi
Description: partial contains small subunit ribosomal RNA, internal transcribed spacer 1, and 5.8S ribosomal RNA
Rfam family: Eukaryotic small subunit ribosomal RNA (bases 1-135)
Source: RNAcentral